UACGUAGGUGGCAAGCGUUAUCCGGAUUUAUUGGGCGUAAAGGGAACGCAGGCGGUCUUUUAAGUCUGAUGUGAAAGCCUUCGGCUUAACCGGAGUAGUGCAUUGGAAACUGGGAGACUUGAGUGCAGAAGAGGAGAGUGGAACUCCAUGUGUAGCGGUGAAAUGCGUAGAUAUUAGGAGGAACACCAGUGGCGAAGGCGGCUUACUGGACGGCAACUGACGCUGAGGCUCGAAAGCGUGUGGAGCAAACAGG
This 253-nucleotide ribosomal RNA is filed under the name uncultured bacterium. RNAcentral's name for it is "partial 16S ribosomal RNA". It matches the Rfam family "Bacterial small subunit ribosomal RNA", at positions 524 to 776 of the family's 1533-position model. The record is from RNAcentral.